AACAACUGCAACAAGACAUUUUCACACUACUUGCCUACUUGGAAAACUUAAAAAGCUUUGUGACAAUUAUUAUGGACUCAACAACAACAAAAACAGACUGGAUGCCUUUUCCCUGGAGAUCUAGCAGGGUGAAGUUCAUGUCCAAGGCCAGUUACCUGAGGAGAUGGAAGCCAAACGGAAUGCAUCCUGGUGUCGGCCGGGUGCUACAGUCCAGGAUCCUCCUUCUUUUUAAUUCUCCAGACGGUGCCACCAUGAGAGUUUCGUCAUAGUGAAAUGUUUGCUUCAAGGUAAAUUACCAGCUUCCUGUUCUUUUUACAGCAUGAAAUAAUCAGAAACAAUCAGUAGAUACAGAAUAUGUUUUUGUUUUUCUCCAGCAUUUUACUUUUGUAUUUCUCCUGUGGGAAUACCUAAUCACCAAAUCAGGCAGAAGAAAUGAAGGCAUUGACGGGAUCAGCCACGUGUUGAUAAUUUACAAGAAUAUGAAUAGUUAAAGUUGAAUACGAAUAUGAAUAGUUAAAGUUGAAUACAAUCAUUGAGAACUGAAGAAAAGCAAAUGAAAACCCGUUGACUGUCCGUGCUAUAAAAGAGAAUUUUCAAUUGUGUGUCCGGAGGGGAAACAAAACAAAUCCUUGGGAUGUGAACGUCUUUAAAGUCAUUGCUUUAUGUGAAGUUCUCUGCCCCCUUUCCAUCAAUAUUGACAAUCAUAAGAUAGAGAAGCUCUCAUGGAGCCAUUGGCAGCUGAGCAGUGUGUGAAGGCUAAGUGUGUUUGUGUGCUUACGUGCGUGUCUAGAGAGAGGAAGAAAUGGAAGCGAAAAUGUAAUCCUCUAAUCCUCAAAGUUUGGAGUGUAUGCACUUUUCUUGUUUUCGCCUUUUUGUUUGUACAUGCUGAUCAAAUUAUAUAUCUGAGUGUGUUUGGAAGCGUGUGUUGGCUGCCUCGCCCGCCUGCCUGCCUGCUUGCUGGAGACAUCAUGACACCCCACAGCUUGUUUAGUUACACUUGCAUUCUUAAGUUGUGCGCCUGAAAUUUUUUCACGAUGUUCAAAUUUGGCACUCACUACCUUUACCAACAUUCCAAGUCUAUCUUUGCAGCAGUGCACACAGGUAUUGUGCAUUCCAUGAACACGUAAAUGAUAACCAAUGCACACUACAAUAUGCUUCUUAUAUUGCAUCCACAAGAGAUUGGAAUGCGCCUAACAAUCUGAAACAAAAAAACGUACACUAUAUCAUCUGCAAACACUCACUCAUGUUGCAGUUUGAAGGUCAUCGCCAGUGGUGGGUAGAGUAGCCAUAAAUUGUACUCAAGUAAGAAUACUGUUACUUUACAAUCUGACUUAAAAGUUACAUGUAGUCUGACAAAUAAUUACUUGAAUAAUUAUACAGCUAAGAAAAAUAUCAGCUCAAUUACAGAGUAACCGGGGAGUAAUUUUGGAAACAUAAAGUUUUCCAAAUGUGACCAUCACACGGACAAAAUGAUAAAACAGGAUUUUGCAAAUUGAGUUACUCUCCAAUAUUUUCAUUGGUCAAAUGCUGCCAGUGGUUACAUUGGAUUGGUGAAACUGAGUCAUGUGACAUUGCCGGAGGCC
Molecule: long non-coding RNA, 1583 nt
Organism: Syngnathoides biaculeatus (alligator pipefish)
Lineage: Eukaryota; Metazoa; Chordata; Actinopteri; Syngnathiformes; Syngnathidae
Exons: 3
Source: RefSeq, a predicted model, not a curated record